CAGCCGCCGCGGGAAUACGUAGGUCCCGAGCGUUGUCCGGAUUUAUUGGGCGUAAAGCGAGCGCUGGCGGUCAGAUAAGUCUGAAGCUAAAGGCUGUGGCUUAACCAUAGUACGCUUUGGAAACUGUUUAACUUGAGUGCAAGAGGGGAGAGUGGAAUUCCAUGUGUAGCGGUGAAAUGCGUAGAUAUAUGGAGGAACACCGGUGGCGAAAGCGGCUCUCGGGCUUGUAACUGACGCUGAGGCUCGAAAGCGUGGGGAGCAAACAGGAUUAGAUACCCCUGUAGUCCCUGUCUCUUAUACA
RNAcentral lists this ribosomal RNA (301 nucleotides) under uncultured bacterium. RNAcentral's name for it is "partial 16S ribosomal RNA". It matches the Rfam family "Bacterial small subunit ribosomal RNA", at positions 509 to 808 of the family's 1533-position model. The record is from RNAcentral.